Molecule: long non-coding RNA, 1924 nt
Organism: Peromyscus californicus insignis
Lineage: Eukaryota; Metazoa; Chordata; Mammalia; Rodentia; Cricetidae
Exons: 3
Source: RefSeq, a predicted model, not a curated record
UUUGGUGUAAGUAUGCAUCUGAGGUGUCUAAAGUUUCGUAGAGGGCUGGUCAGUUGGCUCAGCAAGUGAAAAUGUCUGUCACCAAGCCUGAUGACAUGAUUUCAAUCCCCAGAACCCACACCCACGCUGUAGAUGGAGAGAACUGACUUCCAGAAGUUGUCCUUUGACCUCUACACACAUACAAUUAGGAAAAUACAGGCUCAGCAGUUUGUUGUUCUCCAGAGCAGGAAUUCUUAGCAAGAUCCCCGAUUGAAGAUGACUGGGGAUUCCUGAAGCGAUCUGCUAAGGCAGUUGGAAGUCUGGCUUCAUCUCAAAUACCUGCCACAUCCAGUGGAGUUACUGUAAUGCAGAGUGGGAAGAAGCCUCUAAAAUCUUCAGGCUGCGCAGACAGAGAAACUGAGGCUCAGAGAGUGCCUCGUGUCCAGAUAAGAAGUCAGUGACCGAGUCGGGCACCAUGCUUAUUCCUUUUUAAGGACUCGACUUCCAACCACAGUUGGAACCCCUUGCCAAUAUUUCUCAACAAAUGACAGUACAAUGUGACUCAUUUUUUGACAUUAUGCAAAUGAAGGAAACAAGACUGAGUGCCCUUCUGUCCAGAGAGCAGGAAAUGAAGGCUGUCUGGGGCCGCAUGUUCCCAGGGACAUACAGUGUCACAAGGGGGUGGGGGUGGGGGUCCUGGAAGAACCAGGCCUUUGUUCACUUCUGUCUUCCCUCAGCUCCCCUUCUCAGCCAUGGCUAGCAGGAUUGGCACCAAACCCACACUCCCAGCGUCAACCAGAGAAUCUUAUGAGGACACUUAGGUUGUGUUCUCUGUGGACCUGCCAGCAGAGACUCCUUCCCUUUCAACUGCCCGCCCCCCUCCGCAGCCCAGCCCAAGGCAGCAUUUUGCACUCUCUCUGGAAGAGAUGUUUCUAACCAAUUGGUCCCUCCCUCCUAUGGAAAGCAGAGCCAUUUGCCACAAUGGACCUUAUAUUUUUGGUCAGAGAAGGGCUGAGUGGAUGCUGUUAAAGUUUAUUGGGUUUUCUUUUUUAGCUCCCCCCCCACCCCCACCCCCACUUACAGGAUGACUUCAUCCUGGCUGGAGUGCCCUCAACCCCGGAGGUUCCUGUGAGGGACAGUCUUUGUGCUAGCCUCAUGAAGCAGGGGUCAGUUAUGGAAACUCUCCCAGCCCUGGCUUCUUUCAAUUAGGCAUUAACAGUAUUUCAUCGGAGUGACUUGUGGUGGGAACAGCCCAGAAAUGGAGGAGUUUAUAUGGAGGACGGUGCUUUCCAGAGAGUAGGCAAGACGGGAGAGCUUCUCCAGAGCAUUAGACACAUGAGGAAACGGUGACCCAGGGAGGAGGAAAGGUCAUGAGGUCACAGAGCCAGGUGGCUGCAACCGGACUACAAAGACUGGAACCUGGGCUUCAGAGCUGAGCUGGCACAUCCUGGGUUGUACAUCUGUCUUUCAAGAUGUCUUCAUACUCCUGAUGUACACCAUAAGGUUGUUUUUAAAUUGUACUAUUGGUUAAUGUAGAGAUUCCCCCUCCCCCUCGAGGGGGGGCGGUGUUAAAGACUGAGAGCUGGAGAGAUAGAUAGCCCAGUGCUUAAGAGCUUAUUCUGCACCGGGUGGUGGUGGCGCACGCCUUUAAUCCCAGCACUCGGGAGGGAGAGGCAGGAGGAUCUCUGUGAGUUCGAGGCCAGCCUGGGCUACAGAAUGAGUUUCUGGAGAGGCGUAAAGCUACACAGAGAAACCCUGUCUCAAAAAAAAAAAAAAAGAGCUCAUACUGCUCCUGCAGAGGACCUGAGGUCGGUUCCUAGCACCCACAGAGGCAGCUCAUAACCAUCUGUACGUGACCCCAGCUCCAGGGGAGCUGAUGCUUUGGCCUGGGACACCUGUACCCAUAUGUACACACAAUACAUAUACAUAUGCAUAAUUUAAAAUA